CCUACGGGAGGCAGCAGUGGGGAAUAUUGGGCAAUGGAGGAAACUCUGACCCAGCAACGCCGCGUGAAGGAUGAAGGUGUUAGGAUUGUAAACUUCUGUCGCGAGGGAUGAAAAAUGACGGUACCUCGUAAGAACGCCCCGGCAAACUACGUGCCCGCAGCCGAGGUAAUACGGAGGAGGCGAGCGUUAUCCGGAUUUAUUGGGUUUAAAGGGUGCGCAGGCGGAGGUGCAAGUCAGCGGUAAAAUUGCGGGGCUCAACCCCGUACUGCCGUUGAAACUGGAUCCCUUGAGUGCGCGAGAAGUAUGCGGAAUGCGUGGUGUAGCGGUGAAAUGCAUAGAUAUCGCGCAGAACUCCGAUUGCGAAGGCAGCAUACCGGCGCGCAACUGACGCUCAUGCACGAAAGCGUGGGUAUCGAACAGGAUUAGAUACCCUGGUAGUC
RNAcentral lists this ribosomal RNA (440 nucleotides) under uncultured bacterium. Its description in RNAcentral is "partial 16S ribosomal RNA". It matches the Rfam family "Bacterial small subunit ribosomal RNA", at positions 338 to 795 of the family's 1533-position model. The record is from RNAcentral.